RNAcentral lists this long non-coding RNA (4471 nucleotides) under Lynx pardinus (Iberian lynx). The record is from RNAcentral. Lineage: Eukaryota; Metazoa; Chordata; Mammalia; Carnivora; Felidae.
GGGAAAUAUUUGGCCAGUGGCUCCUUCCAUAAGUGCGUGCAUAUCUGGAAUACUCAGGUAAUCCCCCGAUUGCCGCGACCGAAUCCUUUCCAGAAGUGAUGCCCAAACAGCGUUUGUGGGGACCCAGGCCAGGAGCGGCGACUGGGAAGCCUGUGCUUAGGAACGAGCGGCCUCACACAGAGCCUGGAAGCAAACCCUGCCUUGCCCAGGCGGACCUCGGGCUCAGCACUGUGGGGCUGUGGGCCUUCCCCCCCCCCUGCCCCCUCAUCAAGGGAUCUCCCCAUCUUCGACUUUCUCUAAGCCCCUGGCAUGAAACCUUCCACCUGCAGAUGACCUGCGGUCAUCUCAGCAAAGUGUCACCCAGCCCUUUCCAGAGAUGCCGCUGUCGGUCACAAGGGUUCGAGGGGGAGAGGCGUCCUUCCGUCCGAGCUUACCGGGCAGGGGUGCCAGGCCGGCCCUGACCUUCUGCGCUCCCCGCCAACACCAGUACCUUCUCCGUGCAGCAAACCAAGGGGCACAAAGGAGUGUGUUUGCUGUGCUCAUGCCAUUUGAUGGUUUUUGACUGAAACGGUGUUCGGGUAGCAAAGGAUAGGUCAAUGAUGGGUUGUCGUGUUAUCAGAACUAAAAGAGAAUGUUUGGUUCAGUGUAGCCACUGUAAGUGCCUACAGCCAUAACUGAGGGUAAAUAGCAUUCUGAAUAUAGAGAGUAGAAAGACAGGAACUGGUAUAGUACAGAAGAUUUUUUAAGUGAUUUUUGAAAGAGGCGGAGAGAGAGGGAAACCGAGAAUCCGAAGCGGGCUUCGCGUUGUCAGCGCAGAGCCCGAGGUGAGGCUUGCACUCUCAAGCCCUGCGAUCGUGACCUGAGCCACAAUCGGGAGUCAGACACUUACCUGAGCCACCAGGCACCCCCAAUACAGAGUAUUGUAUCGGGCAGUCAGCUCUCGGCUCUCCUGACGGAAGACAAAUGUUGUUACGGUAGGAGGUGUUGAAAACAGCCCAUGACCCGUUUUGUUGGAUCUCAGGGUGGAUUACGUGCCCCGCUUCUGUGCUUUUAAUCUGACCCACCUUCUUGAUCCCCUUUGGCUGGGUUGACCUUCAGAUGGAUUUGCAUUCUCCAGCCCAUGGCCUCUUGUGGCAGGGAAAGGGGGUAGUGAGCCAAGUUCACUGGCAUGGGGGUGCGGGCGUCCACGGAGACCUCAGGCUCCCCGGGGAGUACCGUAUAUAAACCAGUUCUCUCGCAGAAGGAGAGGCGAUGGUGGGCCCUGCGUGCAGGCAGCCUGACACCAAGGCGAGUUGCGCGGCCCCAGACAGGCCUCCCAGAAACCCCCCAGCCCCACGCCAGGAACAACGUGACAGAGGCUUUCAGUGAAACACUAGAAAUCGUGAUGGGCGGGUCUGCAACAUGACCUCAUUCAUUAAGUGCUGCCUGCUGUCAAAAAGUCGUCAAACCCUGUCACCCCCGUUUUAGAAAUCACAAAACUCAGAGACAUUUUAUUUGCUUUUUUAAAAACAUUUUUAUUUAUUUUUGAGAGAUAGAGAGCGAGCGGGGGAGGGGUAGAGAGAGAGGGAGACACAGAACCGGAAGCAGGGUCCAGGCUCCGAGCUGUCGGCACAGAGCCCGACGCGGGGCUCGAACUUGUGAACAUGAGACCGUGACCUGAGCCAAAGUCAGAUACUUAACCGAUGAGCCAUCCAGGCACCCCUUAUUUAUGUUUUUAAAGACUUUAAGUAAACUCUCCACUCAAUGUGGGGCUCAAACUUACAACCCCAUCCACGAUCAAGAGUCACAAGCUCAACCAGGCCAGCCAGGUGCCCCCUCUUUGAGACGUUUUAUUUGUUGUGUUAUUAUUUUGUUAACGUUUGUUUAUUUGUGAGACAGAGAAGGAGAGAGAGAAUCCCAAGCAGGCUCUGCACCGUCCAUGUGGAACCUGACCCGGGGCUCAAACCCAUGAACCACGAGAUCAUGACCUGAGCCAAAGCCAAGAGUCCGACACUGGACAGACAGAGCCACCCUGGCGCCCCUCUUUGAGACAUUUGAAAGCUCACUUUAAUCCUCAGAGAGGGUACUGUGUGACUGUAAAAAAAAACGUACGUGACGUUGUUGGCUUGCUCCUUCCCCUGUUCCCAUCUCGUAGGAAGUCUGAGAGGCCUGUGUCUACAGCCGCUGGAGACCUUAUUGCAAGUCGUUUUCAUUUCUAGGUGUCAAAAAUACCUGAGAUGAUGUAUCUGUGAUGACAUUGCAGGAUAACGUCCACAGGAGUGCCCAUUGCACCACAUCCAUGUUUUGUUUCAUGUGUAAUUGCUUUGAGAGCGUGAGAUCGAGGGGGGUGCGUGAGUUAGGGAGAGGCNAUCGGACGCUUAACCGACAGAGCCGCCCAGGCGCCCCGGCUACCGCGUCCGUGUUUCGAGUGUCCUUUUGCGUCGUAAGUGAUGACUGCUUUGCUUUGCAGAGUGGAAGUCUUGUCCACAGCUACCGAGGCACUGGCGGCAUCUUCGAGGUGUGCUGGAAUGCCCGAGGGGACAAAGUGGGUGCCAGCGUGUCCGAUGGCUCUGUAAGCAGCACCUGUGGUUUGCCUGGGAGGGGCGGGGAGGGGAGGGGCGGGGCGGGGCACAAAGACGAAACUUCGGGCAGCGGAUACCCGAGUGCAGCUGCAGGGGUGUGACGGGCCCUGGUCUCUGACCGCUUUGCACGCAGGCGCUGAACAGACGUGCUUCUGGUGAAGGAAACUUCUGGGAUGACCCCCUGGGUUGGCACCAUCUGUGAAUGGCCACCUCUUCCUCCCUUCCAGGUUGUCAUUCUAGCCAGCAUUUUCUUAGGGAUAUUCUGCCCCGUGAGGAUGCCACAGGGGUGACCCUGCCCUGUCACAAUGUCAGGAGGCACUCUGGGCUGUCACUACUUUGACAGGGGCGCUACUGGCAUCUGGUGCGUGGAGGGCAGGGAGGCCGCCAGUCCUCCCACAAUGCGCAGAAUGGCCCCCGGAGCGGGGAAAGAUCUGGCUCUGGGUGUCACUGGUGCCGAGGCUGAGAAACUUGCUCCUAGCUUAGUUCCAUGUUUGUGACCCUGACCUCUUGUGAUAAAGGCAUGGCCUCCUGGUCUUAUUCUGCUCCCGUGAGAUGUCUAGCCUCUUGAUUCGUUCCCGCACUUGGGCUUGCCAUGAGCCCCAAGGCGGGGGGCAGCAGUGGGGCUGGCUCGGUGACUGUCAGUGAGGGCCGCAAAUGUUCCCAUCGUCUGCGUGCUCGGGCUGGAGUCGUCCUCUCCAUCACGUAGCCCGCCCCUCCCCCACUGGUUCCUGGCAUUGUCCUCGACCUGGAGCUUCCACGUAGUGCUGUUUGCUUGGCGUUGCUGGGUCACAUGCUCACACACUAGCCUUUUAUUAAAGCUGCCAAUAAAACUUUAUUUACAGAACAUGGGUGGCGGGCCGGAGUUGGUCCAGGGGCUCAAAAGGCAUCUUGCUGUCAUCUGUGAAGAUAAGAGGCACCUUCUGUUUCCUUCCAGGUGUGUGUUUUAUAUCUCCGAAAGUAAACAGAAACUAUUCUAGAAGAGAAUUCUAACGGACCAGCAGUGAAUGUGUGAAGCAGCAAUGCUCAGACACCAUUCUUUCCGCUCCAAAACUGUACGAACUUGACUUGCAUUAGAGUGUACUUGGAAAUCAGUUCAUCCUGGCCACAGGAGUCUCUACUUUCUCAUAAUCUUCAUCAAGAAGUUUAAACCAGAAACAUACACAGUCAUAUCAAAGGGGGAAGGAAUGGUUUCCACCCAGAACAUUCAGCCUGGGAAGCAUGGGGCCACCGGCUAGGUGGGGCACGGUUUGCUUUCCAUCCAGAACAGGCUCUGAUAGUUGAGAGGAGAAAAGAUGAAGAGGAGAAAAAAGAAAAAAAGCUGUGCCAAAAAAGAAAAAAGAAAAGAAAAAAGAAAAAUUCUGUGAUAAAACCAAAAGUGGGGGAGGGGACUCUCCUCCACGUGGUGGGUUCGUUUUUCCCCCUAACAAUUUGGACACUGCACUUGCUUUCACAAAGGAUGUUCAAAGACCAGUUUGUACCGAUGAAAUGCGCAACUUUGUAAUCCCAACACUUUCUAUUUUCUAGAAUCUUCUUUGUCCGGUGGUUUUUCUAUUGGCUGGAAUCCUGUCGUCCGGGGGCCUUCGGUCUGAGAUGGAAACUGGUUUUGGUUUGUUGCUUCCUUCCCACUGUGUGCCCCCUCCACCUCUCCUUCGUGCGGUGUGGUGUUGAUUUGACUACACCUUCCGUAGACGCAGCCUCGUGGACACCAUGCCAGAAUCUCUGACGGUCGGCUUUCCCGUCCCUUCGUCCUCCCCUCCGCCCUUCCUCCCUCUCCCUCACCGCCCCUCGCUCACUCACUGUCCCUUUCUCAUAGUUGCUUCGGAUCUUCGGUCUCAAGGGCACUUUCGGCUCAUAAUAAGUGCUUUAUGUAAGAAGGCAGGGCACGGGGACUUUUUACAGGAGAAAAAAAA